CAGUAGCCGCGGUAAUGCGUAGGUCCCGAGCGUUGUCCGGAUUUAUCGGGCGUAAAGCGAGCGCAGGCGGUUAGAUAAGUCUGGAGUUAAAGGCUGUGGCUUAACCAUAGUACGCUUUGGAAACUGUUUAACUUGAGUGCAAGAGGGGAGAGUGGAAUUCCAUGUGUAGCGGUGAAAUGCGUAGAUAUAUGAAGGAACACCGGUGGCGAAAGCGGCUCUCUGGCUUGUAACUGACGCUGAGGCUCGAAAGCGUGGGGAGCAAACAGGAUUAGAUACCCGAGUAGUCCCUGUCUCUUAUACC
Molecule: ribosomal RNA, 301 nt
Filed under: uncultured bacterium
Lineage: Bacteria
Description: partial 16S ribosomal RNA
Rfam family: Bacterial small subunit ribosomal RNA
Source: RNAcentral